GCUGCAAAGAUGGCCCUGCCUCCAUGCCUUGUUGAACAUGAUGAUGCCCCUGGGAAUGGGAGGUGAUGGUUUUUUACUUCGGCCCUAGUACAGAGUAUGCUCUUGAAGCUGGAUUCCAUCAGCAGGUUUUGGAAAUCACUAGUGGGUAAAAAAGACCAAUUUGCAACUAGGCUCUCAUGCUCUGUUGAAAACUAUGUCACAAUAUCACAAUACUAGAUGCUGGGCUCAAGACAGCAAACAGAAAGCAGCAAGGGCAGUGACUGGAAGCUGGGAGAGAGGGUCAACAGCUGAAUCUCAGCCUGAUGGAGGCCACCAUUUAAUAAGUAAAUACAUGCACGGCUAUUUAGAUCCUGCAUCAGACAGGUCAUCAGAAAACAUGAAGCUAAAUGCAGUAAAGAAUUACUCUCUUGAACUCUUGAAAAUAUCAAAAACAUGAAGCUAAAUGCAGUAAAGAAUUAGUCUCUUGAACUCUUGAAAAUAUCAUUUUCUUAUAGAAA
This 497-nucleotide long non-coding RNA is filed under the name Homo sapiens (human). Its description in RNAcentral is "SLC8A1 antisense RNA 1". Lineage: Eukaryota; Metazoa; Chordata; Mammalia; Primates; Hominidae. The record is from RNAcentral.